GCGAAGGGGACAGCGGAGGGAUCAUUACCGAGUUAUUCAACUCAUCAACCCUGUGAACUUACCUAUACGUUGCUUCGGCGGGGAUUGAGACGGCCCCGUAAAACGGGCCGCCCCCCCCCCAGAGGACCCUUAACUCUGUUUCUAUAAUGUUUCUUCUGAGUAAAACAAGCAAAUAAAUUAAAACUUUCAACAACGGAUCUCUUGGCUCUGGCAUCGAUGAAGAACGCAGCGAAAUGCGAUAAGUAAUGUGAAUUGCAGAAUUCAGUGAAUCAUCGAAUCUUUGAACGCACAUUGCGCCCGCCAGUAUUCUGGCGGGCAUGCCUGUUCGAGCGUCAUUACAACCCUCAGGCCCCCGGGCCUGGCGUUGGGGAUCGGCGGAGCCCCCCGUGGGCACACGCCGUCCCCCAAAUACAGUGGCGGUCCCGCCGCAGCUUCCAUCGCGUAGUAGCUAACACCUCGCGACUGGAGAGCGGCGCGGCCACGCCGUAAAACACCCAACUCUUCUGAAGUUGACCUCGAAUCAGGUAGGAAUACCCGCUGAACUUAAGCAUAUCAAUAAGCGGAGGAAAAGAAACCAACAGGGAUUGCCCCAGUAACGGCGAGUGAAGCGGCAACAGCUCAAAUUUGAAAUCUGGCUCUCGGGCCCGAGUUGUAAUUUGUAGAGGAUGCUUUUGGUGAGGUGCCUUCCGAGUUCCCUGGAACGGGACGCCAUAGAGGGUGAGAGCCCCGUCUGGUUGGACGCCGAACCUCUGUAAAGCUCCUUCGACGAGUCGAGUAGUUUGGGAAUGCUGCUCUAAAUGGGAGGUAUAUGUCUUCUAAAGCUAAAUACCGGCCAGAGACCGAUAGCGCACAAGUAGAGUGAUCGAAAGAUGAAAAGAACUUUGAAAAGAGAGUUAAACAGUACGUGAAAUUGUUGAAAGGGAAGCGCUUGUGACCAGACUUGGGCUUGGUUGAUCAUCCGGGGUUCUCCCCGGUGCACUCUUCCGGCCCAGGCCAGCAUCAGUUCGCCCUGGGGGAUAAAGGCAUCGGGAACGUGGCUCUCUCCGGGGAGUGUUAUAGCCCGUUGCGUAAUACCCUGCGGCGGACUGAGGUUCGCGCAUUCGCAAGGAUGCGGCGAAUCCCUGGUUU
Molecule: ribosomal RNA, 1128 nt
Filed under: Fusarium solani
Lineage: Eukaryota; Fungi; Ascomycota; Sordariomycetes; Hypocreales; Nectriaceae
Description: eukaryotic LSU rRNA
Rfam family: Eukaryotic large subunit ribosomal RNA (bases 511-1128)
Source: RNAcentral